This 98-nucleotide signal recognition particle RNA is filed under the name marine eukaryotic metagenome. RNAcentral's name for it is "Bacteroidales small SRP". It matches the Rfam family "Bacteroidales small SRP", at positions 8 to 103 of the family's 107-position model. From Rfam's summary of the family: The non-coding component of the signal recognition particle in Bacteroides The record is from RNAcentral.
AGGGUAAGUCUUACACGACCAGCUCCCGCUGAAUCCCCCAGGACCGGAAGGUAGCAAGGGUAGGUGGUUGUAGCGGUGCGAUGUAAGUAGCUUACCCU